Molecule: ribosomal RNA, 462 nt
Filed under: uncultured bacterium
Lineage: Bacteria
Description: partial 16S ribosomal RNA
Rfam family: Bacterial small subunit ribosomal RNA
Source: RNAcentral
ACGCACGCUGGCGGCGUGCUUAACACCUGCCAGUCGAGCGGAAAGGCCACUUCGGUGGUCCUCGAGCGGCGAACGGGUGAGUAACACGUGAGUAAUCUGCCCCUCACUUUGGGAUAGCCACCGGAAACGGUGAUUAAUACCGGAUAUGACCAUAUGUCGCAUGGCGUGUGGUGGAAAGUUUUUCGGUGAGGGAUGUGCUCGCGGCCUAUCAGCUUGAUGGUGAGGUAAUGGCUCACCAUGGCUUCGACGGGUAGCCGGCCUGAGAGGGUGACCGGUCACACUGGGACUGAGACACGGCCCAGACUCCUACGGGAGGCAGCAGUGGGGAAUAUUGGACAAUGGGCGGAAGCCUGAUCCAGCAACGCCGCGUGAGGGAUGACGGCCUUCGGGUUGUAAACCUCUUUCAGUACCGACGAAGCGCAAGUGACGGUAGGUACAGAAGAAGCACCGGCCAACUACGUG